Molecule: ribosomal RNA, 253 nt
Filed under: uncultured bacterium
Lineage: Bacteria
Description: partial 16S ribosomal RNA
Rfam family: Bacterial small subunit ribosomal RNA
Source: RNAcentral
GACGAACCGUGCAACCGUUAUUCGGAAUCACUGGGCCUAAAGGGCGCGUAGGCGGCUUUCUAAGUCAGGGGUGAAAUCCGGCAGCUCAACUGUCGCAGUGCCUUUGAUACUGGAGAGCUCGAGGGAGGUAGGGGUCUGUGGAACUUCCGGUGGAGCGGUUAAAUGCGUUGAUAUCGGAAGGAACGCCGGUGGCGAAAGCGACGGACUGGAUCUCUUCUGACGCUGAGGCGCGAAAGCCAGGGGAGCAAACGGG